UACUCGAGUGGCGAACGGGUGAGUAACACGUGGGUGAUCUGCCCUGCACUUCGGGAUAAGCUUGGGAAACUGGGUCUAAUACCGGAUAGGACCGCACUUUAGUGUGUGUGGUGGAAAGUUUUUUCGGUGUAGGAUGAGCUCGCGGCCUAUCAGCUUGUUGGUGGGGUAAUGGCCUACCAAGGCGGCGACGGGUAGCCGGCCUGAGAGGGUGUACGGCCACAUUGGGACUGAGAUACGGCCAAG
This 243-nucleotide ribosomal RNA is filed under the name uncultured Actinomycetales bacterium. RNAcentral's name for it is "partial 16S ribosomal RNA". It matches the Rfam family "Bacterial small subunit ribosomal RNA", at positions 88 to 334 of the family's 1533-position model. The record is from RNAcentral. Lineage: Bacteria; Bacillati; Actinomycetota; Actinomycetes; Actinomycetales.